AUUAAAACGAUGAAGAGAACUAGUAUUUGAUUUUUGUUGUUUAGAGAGUCGGUGGUAGGUGGAAACCGGUCAACAUUAUCAAAGAAUCCGUCUCUGAGUGGUUUUCUGAAAUCGAAAGUAGGAAAACACGGAAACACCGUUACUGUAUGAAGAGGCCUUUCAUUAUUUUUUGACAAGGAAAGGCAAUUAGGGUGGCAACGCGGAGCAUAAGCACCGUCCCUUUU
RNAcentral lists this non-coding RNA (224 nucleotides) under Tepidibacillus sp. Its description in RNAcentral is "T-box sequence". It matches the Rfam family "T-box leader". Rfam says of the family: Uncharged tRNA acts as the effector for transcription antitermination of genes in the T-box leader family. Lineage: Bacteria; Bacillati; Bacillota; Bacilli; Caryophanales; Bacillaceae. The record is from RNAcentral.